GUAGGUGAACCUGCGGAAGGAUCAUUAAAGAAUCGCCCCGUUUUUUGAAAUGGGUUCUAUUCCCAAACCGUGUAUACAUACCUUUGUUGCUUUGGCAGGCCGCCGCUUAGGCGUUGGCUCCGGCUGACUGCGCCUGCCAGAGGACCCAAACUCGUUUGUUUAGUGAUGUCUGAGUACUAUAUAAUAGUUAAAACUUUCAACAACGGAUCUCUUGGUUCUGGCAUCGAUGAAGAACGCAGCAUCUGACUGA
RNAcentral lists this unclassified non-coding RNA (250 nucleotides) under plant metagenome. RNAcentral describes it as "partial contains small subunit ribosomal RNA, internal transcribed spacer 1, and 5.8S ribosomal RNA". The record is from RNAcentral.